This 388-nucleotide ribosomal RNA is filed under the name uncultured bacterium. RNAcentral's name for it is "bacterial SSU rRNA". It matches the Rfam family "Bacterial small subunit ribosomal RNA", at positions 30 to 416 of the family's 1533-position model. The record is from RNAcentral.
AUUGAACGCUGGCGGCAUGCCUUACACAUGCAAGUCGAACGGCAGCACGGGAGCUUGCUCCUGGUGGCGAGUGGCAAACGGGUGAGUAAUACAUCGGAACGUACCCUGAAGUGGGGGAUAACGUAGCGAAAGUUACGCUAAUACCGCAUAUUCUGUGAGCAGGAAAGAGGGGGAUCGCAAGACCUCUUGCUUUAGGAGCGGCCGAUGUCGGAUUGGCUAGUUGGUGAGGUAAAGGCUCACCAAGGCGACGAUCCGUAGCGGGUCUGAGAGGAUGAUCCGCCACACUGGGACUGAGACACGGCCCAGACUCCUACGGGAGGCAGCAGUGGGGAAUUUUGGACAAUGGGCGCAAGCCUGAUCCAGCCAUGCCGCGUGAGUGAAGAAGGCC